AUACUCUGGUUUCUCUUCAGAUCUAAUAAAUCUUUCGCCUGUUGCUAAAGAUGUCCGUAGAGAGAAAUAACCAUGAGUUUCAUAUAAAUUUUUGAAGCAACAAAAAUAUAUAUAUGA
Molecule: small nuclear RNA, 117 nt
Organism: Pseudophryne corroboree (corroboree frog)
Lineage: Eukaryota; Metazoa; Chordata; Amphibia; Anura; Myobatrachidae
Product: U5 spliceosomal RNA
Exons: 1
Source: RefSeq, a predicted model, not a curated record